AGAGUUUGAUCCUGGCUCAGGACGAACGCUGGCGGCGUGCUUAACACAUGCAAGUCGAACGAUGAAGCCCAGCUUGCUGGGUGGAUUAGUGGCGAACGGGUGAGUAACACGUGGGUGAUCUGCCCUGCACUCUGGAAUAAGCCUGGGAAACUGGGUCUAAUACCGGAUAGGACCUUCGGCCGCAUGGCUGGGGGUGGAAAGUUUUUCGGUGCAGGAUGAGCCCGCGGCCUAUCAGCUUGUUGGUGGGGUAAUGGCCUACCAAGGCGACGACGGGUAGCCGGCCUGAGAGGGCGACCGGCCACACUGGACUGAGACACGGCCCAGACUCCUACGGGAGGCAGCAGUGGGGAAUAUUGCACAAUGGGCGCAAGCCUGAUGCAGCGACGCCGCGUGAGGGAUGACGGCCUUCGGGUUGUAAACCUCUUUCACCCAUGACGAAGCGCAAGUGACGGUAGUGGGAGAAGAAGCACCGGCCAACUACGUGCCAGCAGCCGCGGUAAUACGUAGGGUGCGAGCGUUGUCCGGAAUUACUGGGCGUAAAGAGCUCGUAGGCGGUUUGUCGCGUCGUCUAUGAAAACCCGCAGCUCAACUGCGGGCUUGCAGGCGAUACGGGCAGACUCGAGUACUGCAGGGGAGACUGGAAUUCCUGGUGUAGCGGUGAAAUGCGCAGAUAUCAGGAGGAGCACCGGUGGCGAAGGCGGGUCUCUGGGCAGUAACUGACGCUGAGGAGCGAAAGCGUGGGUAGCGAACAGGAUUAGAUACCCUGGUAGUCCACGCCGUAAACGGUGGGCGCUAGGUGUGGGUUUCCUUCCACGGGAUCCGUGCCGUAGCCAACGCAUUGAGCGCCCCGCCUGGGGAGUACGGCCGCAAGGCUAAAACUCAAAGGAAUUGACGG
This 895-nucleotide ribosomal RNA is filed under the name uncultured bacterium. RNAcentral's name for it is "bacterial SSU rRNA". It matches the Rfam family "Bacterial small subunit ribosomal RNA", at positions 8 to 916 of the family's 1533-position model. The record is from RNAcentral.